RNAcentral lists this ribosomal RNA (856 nucleotides) under uncultured bacterium. RNAcentral's name for it is "bacterial SSU rRNA". It matches the Rfam family "Bacterial small subunit ribosomal RNA", at positions 650 to 1504 of the family's 1533-position model. The record is from RNAcentral.
AGAAGAGGACCAGUGGAACUCCAUGUGUAGCGGUGAAAUGCGUAGAUAUAUGGAAGAACACCAGUGGCGAAGGCGGCUGUCUGGUCUGUAACUGACGCUGAGGCUCGAAAGUAUGGGUAGCAAACAGGAUUAGAUACCCUGGUAGUCCAUACCGUAAACGAUGAAUGCUAAGUGUUGGAGGGUUUCCGCCCUUCAGUGCUGCAGCUAACGCAUUAAGCAUUCCGCCUGGGGAGUACGGCCGCAAGGCUGAAACUCAAAGGAAUUGACGGGGGCCCGCACAAGCGGUGGAGCAUGUGGUUUAAUUCGAAGCUACGCGAAGAACCUUACCAGGUCUUGACAUACUAUGCAAAUCUAAGAGAUUAGACGUUCCCUUCGGGGACAUGGAUACAGGUGGUGCAUGGUUGUCGUCAGCUCGUGUCGUGAGAUGUUGGGUUAAGUCCCGCAACGAGCGCAACCCUUAUUAUCAGUUGCCAGCAUUAAGUUGGGCACUCUGGUGAGACUGCCGGUGACAAACCGGAGGAAGGUGGGGAUGACGUCAAAUCAUCAUGCACCUUAUGACCUGGGCUACACACGUGCUACAAUGGAUGGUACAACGAGUUGCGAACUCGCGAGAGUAAGCUAAUCUCUUAAAGCCAUUCUCAGUUCGGAUUGUAGGCUGCAACUCGCCUACAUGAAGUCGGAAUCGCUAGUAAUCGCGGAUCAGCAUGCCGCGGUGAAUACGUUCCCGGGCCUUGUACACACCGCCCGUCACACCAUGAGAGUUUGUAACACCCAAAGUCGGUGGGGUAACCUUUUAGGAACCAGCCGCCUAAGGUGGGACAGAUGAUUAGGGUGAAGUCGUAACAAGGUAGCCGUA